This 253-nucleotide unclassified non-coding RNA is filed under the name uncultured Cellvibrionales bacterium. Its description in RNAcentral is "contains 16S-23S intergenic spacer region". It matches the Rfam family "Bacterial small subunit ribosomal RNA", at positions 524 to 776 of the family's 1533-position model. Lineage: Bacteria; Pseudomonadati; Pseudomonadota; Gammaproteobacteria; Cellvibrionales. The record is from RNAcentral.
UACGGAGGGUGCUAGCGUUAAUCGGAAUUACUGGGCGUAAAGCGCGCGUAGGCGGCUUGUUAAGCUAGAUGUGAAAGCCCCGGGCUCAACCUGGGAACUGCAUUUAGAACUGGCAGGCUAGAGUAUGGCAGAGGAGUGUGGAGUUUCCGGUGUAGCGGUGAAAUGCGUAGAGAUCGGAAGGAACACCAGUGGCGUAGGCAACACUCUGGGCCAAUACUGACGCUGAGGUGCGAAAGCGUGGGGAGCAAACAGG